UGGGGGGAUAUUGCACAAUGGGGGGAAACCCUGAUGCAGCGACGCCGCGUGGAGGAAGAAGGUUUUCGGAUUGUAAACUCCUGUCGUUAGGGACGAUAAUGACGGUACCUAACAAGAAAGCACCGGCUAACUACGUGCCAGCAGCCGCGGUAAAACGUAGGGUGCAAGCGUUGUCCGGAAUUACUGGGUGUAAAGGGAGCGCAGGCGGGAAGACAAGUUGGAAGUGAAAUCCAUGGGCUCAACCCAUGAACUGCUUUCAAAACUGUUUUUCUUGAGUAGUGCAGAGGUAGGCGGAAUUCCAGGUGUAGCGGUGGAAUGCGUAGAUAUCUGGAAGAACACCAAAGGCGAAGGCAGUCUCCUGGGGCAAAUACUGACGCUCAUAUGCGAAAGCGUGGGUAGCAAACAGGAUUAGAUACCCUGGUAGU
Molecule: ribosomal RNA, 425 nt
Filed under: uncultured bacterium
Lineage: Bacteria
Description: bacterial SSU rRNA
Rfam family: Bacterial small subunit ribosomal RNA
Source: RNAcentral